Schistosoma haematobium is the source of this 78-nucleotide non-coding RNA. NCBI's taxonomy places the organism in Eukaryota, Metazoa, Platyhelminthes, Trematoda, Strigeidida, Schistosomatidae. The record is from Rfam.
GGUUUCCUGAAUUCGUGCCAUGAUCUCGCCAAACUCCAACCCACUAGAGCUGGUGAGACCUUCAAAAUAGGUGAAAUG